This 425-nucleotide ribosomal RNA is filed under the name uncultured bacterium. RNAcentral's name for it is "partial 16S ribosomal RNA". It matches the Rfam family "Bacterial small subunit ribosomal RNA", at positions 354 to 796 of the family's 1533-position model. The record is from RNAcentral.
GUGGGGGAUAUUGCACAAUGGGGGAAACCCUGAUGCAGCGACGCCGCGUGAAGGAAGACGUACUUCGGUAUGUAAACUUCUAUCAGCAGGGAAGAAGAUGACGGUACCUGACUAAGAAGCCCCGGCUAACUACGUGCCAGCAGCCGCGGUAAUACGUAGGGGGCAAGCGUUAUCCGGAUUUACUGGGUGUAAAGGGAGCGUAGACGGUGAAGCAAGUCUGAUGUGAAAACCCGGGGCUCAACUCCGGGAUUGCAUUGGAAACUGUUUUACUUGAGUGCUGGAGGGGCAAGCGGAAUUCCUGGUGUAGCGGUGAAAUGCGUAGAUAUCAGGAAGAACACCGGUGGCGAAGGCGGCUUGCUGGACAGUAACUGACGUUGAGGCUCGAAAGCGUGGGGAGCAAACAGGAUCAGAAACCCGUGUAGUCC